AGUUCUGCUGCGAGUGCUGCCGGCAGUCGGCCCGGGUUGAGCUGUCCAUUCGUCCAGGUGCUGAAGCUGGUGGAACAUUGGGGUUCUCUGGCCGCCAUGGCACUCAAUCAUACCACCUAGAGUGGACUGGCCGAGACCAGACUGGGUACCAAGCAGAGAAGUGCAGAGGAAAGCACUGGGAGAGCACCAGAAUUGGAAAUAGAGCGGCCAUUUGGAUUUGGGCAGGAAGCAGCCGAGCACAGCUUUGGAUCCUUCUUUAGGGAAAUCGAGUUAUGGAUUUAUGGUCCCGGUCAAGCUCAGCCCAUCCCCAGGCAGGGGCGGGCUCAGCGAGCAGCAAGAGUUCUGGUGGCGGCGGCGGCGGCAGUAGCAGCGGCAGCGGUAGCAGCGGCAGCGGUAGCAGCGGCAGCGGCAGCUUGGUCCUCUGACUCUCUUCGGUGACGGGUAUUCUUGGGUGGAUAAUACGGAUUACGUUGUUAUUGCUUAAGAAUACGCGUAGUCGAGGAGAGUACCAGCGGC
This 516-nucleotide long non-coding RNA is filed under the name Homo sapiens (human). RNAcentral's name for it is "HSALNT0294149". The stretch from base 431 to 501 matches the Rfam family "mir-137 microRNA precursor family". Lineage: Eukaryota; Metazoa; Chordata; Mammalia; Primates; Hominidae. The record is from RNAcentral.